GCUGGGUGUGGUGGUGCACACUUGUAAUCCCAGCUGCUCAGGAGGCUGAGUCAGGAGGAUUGUGAGUUCAAAGCCAGCCUCAGAAAAAAUGAGGCCCUAAGCAACUCAGAGAGACUCUGUUUCUA
RNAcentral lists this small RNA (125 nucleotides) under Marmota monax (woodchuck). Lineage: Eukaryota; Metazoa; Chordata; Mammalia; Rodentia; Sciuridae. The record is from RNAcentral.